This 240-nucleotide unclassified non-coding RNA is filed under the name soil metagenome. RNAcentral's name for it is "partial contains 5.8S ribosomal RNA, internal transcribed spacer 2, and large subunit ribosomal RNA". The record is from RNAcentral.
AACGCACGAGACCUGCGGACCUGCGGAAGGAUCAUUACCGAGUUUUCAACCCCCAAACCCCAUGUGAACUUAUACCAUUUACACCGUUGCUUCGGCGGGUUCUCGCCCCGGGCUUUACAACCCCGGAACCAGGCGGCCCGCCGGGGGACCCAAACUCUAGAUUUUAUUUUAGCAUGUCUGAGUGGAAUCAUUACAAAAUGAAUCAAAACUUUCAACAACGGAUCUCUAGAUCGGAAGAGC